Molecule: ribosomal RNA, 305 nt
Filed under: uncultured bacterium
Lineage: Bacteria
Description: bacterial SSU rRNA
Rfam family: Bacterial small subunit ribosomal RNA
Source: RNAcentral
CACCGCCUACGGGGGGCAGCAGUGGGGAAUAUUGCACAAUGGGCGCAAGCCUGAUGCAGCGACGCCGCGUGCGGGAUGGAGGCCUUCGGGUUGUAAACCGCUUUUGUUCAAGGGCAAGGCACGGUCUUUGGCCGUGUUGAGUGGAUUGUUCGAAUAAGCACCGGCUAACUACGUGCCAGCAGCCGCGGUAAUACGUAGGGUGCAAGCGUUAUCCGGCUUUAUUGGGCGUAAAGGGCUCGUAGGCGGUUCGUCGCGUCCGGUGUGAAAGUCCAUCGCUUAAGGGUGGAUACGCGCGGGGUACGGGG